Molecule: unclassified non-coding RNA, 396 nt
Filed under: soil metagenome
Description: partial contains 5.8S ribosomal RNA, internal transcribed spacer 2, and large subunit ribosomal RNA
Rfam family: 5.8S ribosomal RNA (bases 1-120)
Source: RNAcentral
GAUGAAGAACGCAGCGAAAUGCGAUAAGUAGUGUAAAUUGCAGAAUUCAGUGAAUCAUCGAAUCUUUGAACGCACAUUGCGCCUUCCGGUAUUCCGGGAGGCAUGCCUGUCCGAACGUCAUCAAGCCCCUCGCCCGCAGCUGUUGCUUGCAACGGCCGCUCUGGGCGGUACAUGGCAGAUGGUCGCCUUAACGGGUGGCCACGGCCGAAAUUGAUUGGCAGAUCCUCAUUGACUGUGAUUGUGAUAAGAAUAUUACCUACAAUCCCCUGGCAUAGAGGUGUCUCGCCGUAAACGGAAAUCGCUCCCUCCACGGGGCGCGCUUACCAUCACCAUAUCUUUUGACUUCGGAUCAGGUAGGGAUACCCGCUGAACUUAAGCAUAUCAAUAAGCGGAGGA